Molecule: small nucleolar RNA, 106 nt
Organism: Cannabis sativa
Lineage: Eukaryota; Viridiplantae; Streptophyta; Magnoliopsida; Rosales; Cannabaceae
Source: RefSeq, a predicted model, not a curated record
AUUCCAUGGUGAGGACACUUUAAGAUCAAGUCUUAAAUCUCUCCCAAGCAUCAUAGAGAGACUCAUUGUCUAACUAAUAAAAAUUAUUGAUCUCCCCUCUCAACUU